AAAGUCGUAACAAGGUUUCCGUAGGUGAACCUGCGGAAGGAUCAUUACAACGUAUCCACGUACCAAACUCGCGAACUGUUCCCAAUAGAGUGAACCUGUGGAUGAAGUUAUGGUUGACUGCUUUUCGCUGAUGGAGUUCUCGGAUUUUCAUCUGAGAACUGAAAGGCUUUCGAUCGCCAGCAGAGGUGCUCGCACCUCUCUGGGCUUCGUUUACUCUAUUGUGGUUUUCCCAUCAGCUGUUUUACACAUUAUUAUUAACCCUUUGAAAUCUGAACUGAACUUGAAAACUCAGCUGCCGUUCUUGUUGGCUUCGGUCACGGACGCAACAGCUUUGUUUUUCACAUUACGAAACAAAGAACAACUCUUAGCAACGGAUAUCUUGGUUCUC
This 388-nucleotide unclassified non-coding RNA is filed under the name Cercozoa sp. RNAcentral's name for it is "partial contains small subunit ribosomal RNA, internal transcribed spacer 1, and 5.8S ribosomal RNA". The stretch from base 1 to 47 matches the Rfam family "Eukaryotic small subunit ribosomal RNA", at positions 1785 to 1831 of the family's 1831-position model. The record is from RNAcentral. Lineage: Eukaryota; Cercozoa.